UAGUGGCGAACGGGUGAGUACACGUGAGUAACCUGCCCUUGACUCUGGGAUAAGCCUGGGAAACUGGGUCUAAUACCGGAUACGACCAUCUGACGCAUGUCAUGGUGGUGGAAAGCUUUUGUGGUUUUGGAUGGACUCGCGGCCUAUCAGCUUGUUGGUGGGGUAAUGGCCUACCAAGGCGACGACGGGUAGCCGGCCUGAGAGGGUGACCGGCCACACUGGGACUGAGACACGGCCCAGACUCCUACGGGAGGCAGCAGUGGGGAAUAUUGCACAAUGGGCGAAAGCCUGAUGCAGCGACGCCGCGUGAGGGAUGACGGCCUUCGGGUUGUAAACCUCUUUCAGUAGGGAAGAAGCGAAAGUGACGGUACCUGCAGAAGAAGCGCCGGCUAACUACGUGCCAGCAGCCGCGGUAAUACGUAGGGCGCAAGCGUUAUCCGGAAUUAUUGGGCGUAAAGAGCUCGUAGGCGGUUUGUCGCGUCUGCUGUGAAAGACCGGGGCUCAACUCCGGUUCUGCAGUGGGUACGGGCAGACUAGAGUGCAGUAGGGGAGACUGGAAUUCCUGGUGUAGCGGUGAAAUGCGCAGAUAUCAGGAGGAACACCGAUGGCGAAGGCAGGUCUCUGGGCUGUAACUGACGCUGAGGAGCGAAAGCAUGGGGAGCGAACAGGAUUAGAUACCCUGGUAGUCCAUGCCGUAAACGUUGGGCACUAGGUGUGGGGGACAUUCCACGUUUUCCGCGCCGUAGCUAACGCAUUAAGUGCCCCGCCUGGGGAGUACGGCCGCAAGGCUAAAACUCAAAGGAAUUGACGGGGGCCCGCACAAGCGGCGGAGCAUGCGGAUUAAUUCGAUGCAACGCGAAGAACCUUACCAAGGCUUGACAUGAACCGGAAAGACCUGGAAACAGGUGCCCCGCUUGCGGUCGGUUUACAGGUGGUGCAUGGUUGUCGUCAGCUCGUGUCGUGAGAUGUUGGGUUAAGUCCCGCAACGAGCGCAACCCUCGUUCUAUGUUGCCAGCGCGUUAUGGCGGGGACUCAUAGGAGACUGCCGGGGUCAACUCGGAGGAAGGUGGGGACGACGUCAAAUCAUCAUGCCCCUUAUGUCUUGGGCUUCACGCAUGCUACAAUGGCCGGUACAAAGGGUUGCGAUACUGUGAGGUGGAGCUAAUCCCAAAAAGCCGGUCUCAGUUCGGAUUGGGGUCUGCAACUCGACCCCAUGAAGUCGGAGUCGCUAGUAAUCGCAGAUCAGCAACGCUGCGGUGAAUACGUUCCCGGGCCUUGUACACACCGCCCGUCAAGUCACGAAAGUUGGUAACAC
This 1315-nucleotide ribosomal RNA is filed under the name Paenarthrobacter sp. Its description in RNAcentral is "bacterial SSU rRNA". It matches the Rfam family "Bacterial small subunit ribosomal RNA", at positions 93 to 1420 of the family's 1533-position model. Lineage: Bacteria; Bacillati; Actinomycetota; Actinomycetes; Micrococcales; Micrococcaceae. The record is from RNAcentral.